UACGUAGGGCGCAAGCGUUGUCCGGAAUUAUUGGGCGUAAAGAGCUUGUAGGCGGUUUGUCGCGUCUGCUGUGAAAUUUCGGGGCUCAACCCCGAACUUGCAGUGGGUACGGGCAGACUAGAGUGUGGUAGGGGAGACUGGAAUUCCUGGUGUAGCGGUGAAAUGCGCAGAUAUCAGGAGGAACACCGGUGGCGAAGGCGGGUCUCUGGGCCGAAAUUGACGCUGAGGAGCGAAAGCGUGGGGAGCAAACAGG
This 253-nucleotide ribosomal RNA is filed under the name uncultured bacterium. RNAcentral describes it as "partial 16S ribosomal RNA". It matches the Rfam family "Bacterial small subunit ribosomal RNA", at positions 524 to 776 of the family's 1533-position model. The record is from RNAcentral.